UGGGGAAUCUUGCACAAUGGGCGAAAGCCUGAUGCAGCGACGCCGCGUGCGGGAUGAAGGCCUUCGGGUUGUAAACCGCUUUCAGCAGGGACGAGGCCGCAAGGUGACGGUACCUGCAGAAGAAGCCCCGGCUAACUACGUGCCAGCAGCCGCGGUAAUACGUAGGUGGCGAGCGUUAUCCGGAUUUACUGGGCGUAAAGGGCGUGUAGGCGGCUAGAUAAGUGUGAUGUUUAAAUCCAAGGCUUAACCUUGGGGUUCAUUACAAACUGUUUAGCUUGAGUGCUGGAGAGGAUAGUGGAAUUCCUAGUGUAGCGGUAAAAUGCGUAGAUAUUAGGAGGAACACCGGUGGCGAAGGCGGCUAUCUGGACAGUAACUGACGCUGAGGCGCGAAAGCGUGGGGAGCAAACAGG
This 410-nucleotide ribosomal RNA is filed under the name Verrucomicrobiota bacterium. RNAcentral describes it as "Verrucomicrobia bacterium partial 16S ribosomal RNA". It matches the Rfam family "Bacterial small subunit ribosomal RNA", at positions 355 to 776 of the family's 1533-position model. The record is from RNAcentral. Lineage: Bacteria; Pseudomonadati; Verrucomicrobiota.